AUAUCAAUAAGCGGAGGAAAAGAAACCAACAGGGAUUGCCUCAGUAACGGCGAGUGAAGCGGCAACAGCUCAAAUUUGAAAUCUGGCCCCUGCGGCCCGAAUUGUAAUUUGUAGAAGGUGCUUCGGGUGCGACCCCGGUCCAAGUCCCUUGGAACAGGGUGUCCUAGAGGGUGAGAAUCCCGUACGCGGCCGAUGGUCAGGCCCAUGUGAAGCCCUUUCGACGAGUCGAGUUGUUUGGGAAUGCAGCUCUAAAUGGGUGGUAAAUUUCAUCUAAAGCUAAAUACCUGUCGAAGACCGAUAGCGCACAAGUAGAGUGAUCGAAAGAUGAAAAGCACUUUGAAAAGAGAGUCAAACAGUACGUGAAAUUGUUGAAAGGGAAGCGCUUGCAACCAGACUCGCUCGCGGGUGUUCAGCCGUCCCCAGGGACGGUGCAUUCUCCCGCGGCCGGGCCAGCAUCGGUUCAGGCGGUCGGAUAAAGGUUCCGGGAAUGUAGCUCUCUUCGGGGAGUGUUAUCAGCCCGGGGCGCAAUGCGGCCAGCCUGGACCGAGGACCGCGCAUUCGCUAGGAUGCUGGCGUAAUGGUUGCCAGCGACCCGUCUUGAAACACGGACCAAGGAGUCGACCAACCGCGCGAGUGUUUGGGUGUUAAACCCCCGACGCGCAAUGAAAGUAAACGGAGGUGGGAGCCUUCGGGCGCACCAUCGACCGAUCCUGAUAUCUUUGGAUGGAUUUGAGUACGAGCCCGGCUGGUCGGACCCGAAAGGCAAGAACUAUCCAAUUUUUUCCCAACUGGGCACCCUCGCUAACUUCUUAACAGAUGGUGAACUAUGCGUGAAUAGGGUGAAGCCAGAGGAAACUCUGGUGGAGGCUCGCAGCGGUUCUGACGUGCAAAUCGAUCGUCAAAUUUGCGCAUAGGGGCGAAAGACCAAUCGAACUAUCUAGUAGCUGGUUCCCGUCGAAGUUUC
RNAcentral lists this ribosomal RNA (964 nucleotides) under Ocellularia postposita. RNAcentral describes it as "LSU rRNA". It matches the Rfam family "Eukaryotic large subunit ribosomal RNA", at positions 40 to 970 of the family's 3401-position model. Lineage: Eukaryota; Fungi; Ascomycota; Lecanoromycetes; Ostropales; Graphidaceae. The record is from RNAcentral.